GGUCCGCGGAACGCGUUCGCGUCCUGCUAUCGCCGCAUUAGCGCGCCAAGAUUGUGGGGCACGGUCGGACCUGCGGAGGCCUUGGCCUCCGUUGCACCUUUACAAUAGAGUCCUGCCUUUUAGAUCGAGUCCCUUAUGAGGGGGCCCUUAGCUCAAGCCUGGGAGAGCCACCUGCCUUGCAAGCAGGGGGGUCAUUCGGUUCGAUCCCGAAAAGGCUCCCACCCAUUUUCGCCCGCUUUCGCGGCAUGGAAUGGGUGGGAAGGCUCACCGCCAGGCGAGGGGGAUCGCGACCAAGAAUACUCCCAGGGAUGAAGACACGAUAUCCUGCUGCAAGGCAGGUAUGCGGAAGGGUUACUUCUGCUGCUUCUUUGACAUUGUGAAUGGGUUUUUAAUCGAUGCCGUGGUGCAUUGGUUUGCAUCUGCGUUGGGCCGCGAGGUUCGAGGCGAUGUGAUCUGAUGUGUCACUUACAGAUGUAAUAUCUGGCUGAGAUUAUCGUCCGCGCCUUAAAGACAACGCAGAUUAUGCAGGUCUGUCGUGAUGUUGAUGCCCAUGCCACUU
RNAcentral lists this unclassified non-coding RNA (559 nucleotides) under Sphingomonas sp. SLAU-25. RNAcentral's name for it is "partial 16S-23S ribosomal RNA intergenic spacer". The record is from RNAcentral. Lineage: Bacteria; Pseudomonadati; Pseudomonadota; Alphaproteobacteria; Sphingomonadales; Sphingomonadaceae.